UACUAUAGCCACCAUCUCGGAUCAUCACUCCGUUUUUCGACUAGUCCCAGCUAUAUUCUCAUUUCCUGAAGAGAACAAUGAAAGCAAAGGGUGAGCUCAACUAGCCCAGUAAAGAAUAUUAUGACUAAGAUAAUGCAGAAUAAAUUAUGGUUAGCCUUCAACAGUUUUAAACUGAUAGAAUACAAUAGACAACAAGUUUAACUGCAGCGGAACAAAUAAUCCAUUAAAAGAGUCAAGUAGAACAUAAUAUCUACUAUCUUCUAUGAUUUAAAAUUUUAUCAUCAAUUUUAUCGCUGAGACUCAACUCAAUAAAUAAUCUACAUUACUGAAUUAUUCAUGCACUACGGGCCAAAAAUAUUCAUUAUUAUCACAUCCACGAAUCAUCCAUGCACUACGGGCCAAGGAUAUUCAUUAUUAUCACCAAUGGUCAUGAUCAUACUAAACAAUAAUUCAUUUUUGCACCCUUGGCCGAAGAGAACCCAUGGUCAUGAUCAUACCAACAACUGUCCAUCAAUGCACUACGGGCCAAUGAGGACUUUUACCACAUCAUUUGUAACAUUACAGGUCAUGAUUAUACCGAAUAAUUCAUGAUCAUAAUCAUACCAAUCAACAGUCCAUCUAUGCAAUACAGGCCAAAGAUGACUUUUAUCACAAUAUAAGUAUGAGGAUGAUGACAACGAUAUAAGAAUUCAAUCAAACGAAAUCAAGGAUAAAUAUUAAAGAUUUUUAAUUUAUCCAGAGUUUAAAAAUAUCCAAAUUGUCAACAUGAUAACUACUUUGUGAAAUAAAAUUCAAGAAUAAUAUUUAUGUAUCAAAAAUACUUUGGACAAAAAAAAACAAUUUUUCGGGUGAAUAGUACCUAGUGAAUAGUACUCAGUGAAUAGUACCUUACGUAUGAAUAGUAUUGUACGUAUAAAUAGUACCGUACGUAUUAAUAGUAUUGUACGUAUGAAUAGUACCCAUGAAUAGUACUCCGGCAUGAAAAUCUUAACAUUUAAAAAAGAAUGUUCAGAAAAAUAUUCUUGUGAAACUAUACUAGAUGAAGCGCAAAUUUCAAGGAUAUUCUACUAAUUUCAAAGAGAAUAGAAGUAAUACUUUAACAAAAUGAGUGUAGAAUUCGAAAUCUGAAAUGAAAUAAUAUUACUUAUAUACUACAGAGUAUGGAAGAAAAUAUUAUUUCAUACGAAUAUUGAAUAAAAAUAAUAUCCCUUACAACUGUUAAUCGAAAAUAAUAUUCCUACGAAUAUUGAACGAAAAUAAUAUUCCUUUACGAAUAUUGAACGAAAAUAAAAUUUAUUACGAAAAAUAUGAAAUAAAUAAUAUCCCUUACCUCAAAAGAAAAGUAAUUCUGACUCGUAUAGCGGAUAUAUUCUUGAAGAAAACUUGUAUUAUUUUUUACACUCAAAACUUCCUUAAACUCUAAAGAAAUACGAUCAAUAUUAUAGAAGAAGAAUUCUCUAAUUCUGGUGUGAUUUUCAUUUCUAAACUGAGCAUCCUAUUUAUAAGAGAAUGACAGGAUACUAUUUGAAUUAAAAAAUUACGGGUGAACAGUAAUUGAAAUUCACGGGCGAAGACGGCUGAAACUUUAAAAAAAAUUAAUUUUACUAUGCUGCACUAUGCACACACUAUGCAGUACUAUGCAACACUAUAUAUAAGAAAAUAUAAUAUACUAUAUUUUACAUAAAAAAUAAAUUUUAUAAUAUAUAUAUAUAUAUAUAAACAAAAUUGAGAUUACUUUCUCCCGAUAAUUUUAAAAAAUGAGUAAGUGAGGGUCCAUGUAAUAAGCAAAAUUUACAACAAAUACUUCAUAAAAUACCCCCUAUCUAUCUCAAUUCACUUGGCUUCGCUAAACACAUUUUUAAUAACAUUUAUUCAUCAUUAUUAUAACGCACAUUAUUAACAACCAGAUCAUUCACAGAAAAGAGGGGGCUUAUUGGCGCGCAAUUAGGUGACCAAACCCCUUUUCUCGACAGAACUUUCUAGACAUCGUCAAUAAUGCAAAUAAUAAUAUGAAUAACUUUGUCAUCUCAAUUAUUGAUUUAAUAAUAUAAAAUAUUGUAACAAUAAUUGAAUCAAUAACGUGAAAUACUAUACAACAAUUAUUGUGGCAAUAAUUGAAUAAAACUGAGUGACUUCUCAUUAGACCUGGCAAACAGGCCGGGCUAGCCCAAACGGGCCAGGCCAAAAUGGCCCAAGUUUUGGUGGGAUAGAAUUAAGUGGCCCGUGGCCCGAGUUGGGCCAGGCCGGCCCAGCCCGCGGACUUUUUCUAAUUUUUUUUAAAAAAAAUUCUGUAAAUCAACCAGCUCAAACCUCAGUAUUGAUAAACAUAUAAAGAAUAAUUGGUUCAACUUAAUAUAUUCCUCACUGUAAAUGUUGAAAUAGAUAGAUUAACGAUAACACAGCUAAAGAAAAUGACACUGUUGUUUUCUCUAAAUGACAUUCCUCACUGCAUGACAUUCCUCAGUCCUCACUGCAUCUGCUCUGUAAAAUAAGCUCCAAAUACAUGCUUGCAAUCCCAUCUUCUCCGUCCAAGAAUGGCAUGACAUCCUGUGCAGAAAGAUUCAUAAAUGUGUACGCAGUAGUUGCAUUGCAUAAAUGAACAAUAGUGGCCUUCAUUGUAUACAGUAUAUUCCUUCCCAAAAAUUAGUAUAUAUUUACACAUUUUUUUCUUGAAUUCUGAUAAUGAAUACUUUACUUAGAACAAACAAAUAAAGGAAACCUUUUUUGCCAUCUUGCAGUUUACUUAGAACAACCAAAUUGGAUUUAUCUUGCAGUUUGUGACUGUACACAAGAUAACCUUUUCUUAGUACUUGAAAAAUCAAACAAAAAUCAAUGAAAUAGUUCAUAAAAAAUGAAGAAUCAAACCUUGAAGAAAAGGAUCAUUAGGGUGUUGGAAAAUGCAUGAAACAUUGUUCUGAAUCAGAAAACAAAAAAACAUCAAGAUGCCACCUGCAAACUUAAGGAAUUAGAGAGGCUAAAACUUAUGCAAGACAUGGGACACGCUGAAUAUCAUAUACAUAUAACAAUAUAUGUUCAACCCAAAUUAAAUUAAUCCCCAUAUCAUCAUUCAUUCAUACUCAACUGUCCACCCUUAAAUCUAAAAUUAGCAGAAAUUAAGUAGCAUCUAGUUCACUAUUUACUUUAAAUGAUUAAAUUGUUUUAAUUUAUAUAAAAAGUAAAAAUAUGUAUGGAACAUAAUUUCCUUAAAGUAGAUGGUAUAUAUACUUUAUAACAUAUUAUUAGGUUAAUUAAAUUCCAUUUGAACCUCUGUAGUUCAAGGGAUAACCAAACACUACCCAUACGAACAAAUUCCGGCAUUAAACAGAAACUCACAAAUGGUCAUAGAAAGAGGAAAAAAAGCUCUAAACAAAUCAUCAAUUUCGGAACUAGCAAUAGCGUACAUGAAUGUAUAUAUUUAUAUUCAGAAUGUGGUUCAGAGAAUCGUCAAAAAUGAUAUUAGAAAGGGAAAAGAAAAGAUACAAAUGGUUAGACCCAAGUUUCGAUAGUUAGUCUUUGCCCAAUUUCCUUCUCAUUCUUCUUCUUCCCCAUUUCUACGACUUUACUGUGUCCUUGGGUACUAAUUGAACAUACUCGACAAACAUGUGUUUUUGGUAUUUAUAGUCUUUUCUCGCAUAACAUAAACCGGAUUUUUCAAAAAAUUAUAGAAAUAGUACUCCCAGAUUCAAAAAAAGUAGAAAAUUACCCAGAUUCCAGAGAGAAAUUGGUCUCACAGAAUGAGGAUUUGGAUUCGGGAUGAAGAGAAGAAGCUACACAGUCGGCGUGGUCGAUCGAUCGAAAGUUUGGAUUUCCCAGCCGGCAGUCGUCGUUGUCUCGCUGUCUCAUACUCUCAUUUUCAGAUCUAGAUCUAAAAAAAGUCCCUUUUAAUUUAUUAUGCCUUAGCCAAGUCGAUUAGACCCCUUAGGGAGAUUACAUAGCCAGAUUACAGAUAAUGAUUUUUU
RNAcentral lists this long non-coding RNA (3959 nucleotides) under Panax ginseng (ginseng). RNAcentral describes it as "long non-coding RNA (PGIN_LNC003450)". Lineage: Eukaryota; Viridiplantae; Streptophyta; Magnoliopsida; Apiales; Araliaceae. The record is from RNAcentral.